GAUGAAGAACGCAGCGAAAUGCGAUAAGUAAUGUGAAUUGCAGAAUUCAGUGAAUCAUCGAAUCUUUGAACGCACAUUGCGCCCCCUGGUAUUCCGGGGGGCAUGCCUGUUCGAGCGUCAUUUCAACCCUCAAGCUCUGCUUGGUAUUGAGUCCAUGUCAGCAAUGGCAGGCUCCAAAAUCAGUGGCGGCGCCGCUGGGUCCUGAACGUAGUAAUAUCUCUCGUUACGGGUGCUCGGCGUGCUUCUGCCAAAACCCCAAUUUUUCUAUGGUUGACCUCGGAUCAGGUAGGGAUACCCGCUGAACUUAAGCAUAUCAAUAAGCGGAGGA
Molecule: unclassified non-coding RNA, 328 nt
Filed under: soil metagenome
Description: partial contains 5.8S ribosomal RNA, internal transcribed spacer 2, and large subunit ribosomal RNA
Rfam family: 5.8S ribosomal RNA (bases 1-120)
Source: RNAcentral